GGAGACUGUGGUUCGGUGGUAGAGCAUUUGCUUUUCAUGCAGAAGGACCUGGGUUCAAUUCCCAGCAUCUACA
Non-coding RNA from Sphaerodactylus townsendi, 73 nucleotides. NCBI's taxonomy places the organism in Eukaryota, Metazoa, Chordata, Lepidosauria, Squamata, Sphaerodactylidae. The record is from the annotation of a RefSeq genome assembly.